GCUGGAGUUGGUGUUCGGCAACUGGACACCAGCCUGCCUUGCGUGCAAUCAUCCGGAAAGUUGCUUGGUUCCACUCCGACUCGAGCC
RNAcentral lists this transfer RNA (87 nucleotides) under Fonsecaea multimorphosa. RNAcentral describes it as "tRNA-Ala". The record is from RNAcentral. Lineage: Eukaryota; Fungi; Ascomycota; Eurotiomycetes; Chaetothyriales; Herpotrichiellaceae.